Molecule: ribosomal RNA, 352 nt
Filed under: uncultured bacterium
Lineage: Bacteria
Description: bacterial SSU rRNA
Rfam family: Bacterial small subunit ribosomal RNA
Source: RNAcentral
GCUCAGGAUGAACGCUGGCGGCGUGCUUAACACAUGCAAGUCGAGCGAAGCACUUAAGUUCGAUUCUUCGGAUGAGGACUUUUGUGACUGAGCGGCGGACGGGUGAGUAACGCGUGGGUAACCUGCCUCAUACAGGGGGAUAACAGUUAGAAAUGGCUGCUAAUACCGCAUAAGACCACGGUACUGCAUGGUACAGUGGUAAAAACUCCGGUGGUAUGAGAUGGACCCGCGUCUGAUUAGGUAGUUGGUGAGGUAACGGCCCACCAAGCCGACGAUCAGUAGCCGACCUGAGAGGGUGACCGGCCACAUUGGGACUGAGACACGGCCCAGACUCCUACGGGAGGCAGCAGUA